GCCCUACGGGGGGCAGCAGUGGGGAAUAUUGCACAAUGGGCGCAAGCCUGAACGAGCAAUGCCGCGUGAACGAGGAAGGUCUUCGGAUCGUAAAGUUCUGUUGAAGGGGAAAAAGAGCGGAGAGAGGAAAUGAACUCCGAUUGAUAUUACCCUUCGAGGAAGUCACGGCUAACUACGUGCCAGCAGCCGCGGUAAUACGUAGGUGGCGAGCGUUAUCCGGGAUGAUUGGGCGUAAAGGGUGCGUAGGCGGCCUGCUAAGUCUGGAGUGAAAGGUACCGGCUCAACCGGUACAGGCUCUGGAAACU
RNAcentral lists this ribosomal RNA (305 nucleotides) under uncultured bacterium. RNAcentral describes it as "bacterial SSU rRNA". It matches the Rfam family "Bacterial small subunit ribosomal RNA", at positions 335 to 634 of the family's 1533-position model. The record is from RNAcentral.